RNAcentral lists this transfer RNA (87 nucleotides) under Candidatus Saccharimonadota bacterium. RNAcentral's name for it is "tRNA-Leu". It matches the Rfam family "tRNA". From Rfam's summary of the family: Transfer RNA (tRNA) molecules are approximately 80 nucleotides in length. Their secondary structure includes four short double-helical elements and three loops (D, anti-codon, and T loops). Further hydrogen bonds mediate the characteristic L-shaped molecular structure. tRNAs have two regions of fundamental functional importance: the anti-codon, which is responsible for specific mRNA codon recognition, and the 3' end, to which the tRNAs corresponding amino acid is attached (by aminoacyl-tRNA synthetases). tRNAs cope with the degeneracy of the genetic code in two manners: having more than one tRNA (with a specific anti-codon) for a particular amino acid; and 'wobble' base-pairing, i.e. permitting non-standard base-pairing at the 3rd anti-codon position. The record is from RNAcentral. Lineage: Bacteria; Candidatus Saccharimonadota.
GCCGCGAUGGUGGAAUUGGUAGACACGCUAGACUCAAAAUCUGGUGUCCUCUAGGACGUGCCGGUUCAAGUCCGGCUCGCGGUACCA